UCUCACGAAAGUCCAUCACUGGCAGACAGUGUGGCAUUGCUAGACCUUAUCCCAUUUAAUUUUUACUUAUUUCCUACAUUGAAAAUCGUUCAAAAACAACGAAGAAUUUAUAGAAUCGGUUUAUUCGCGAUAACGUUGUCGCGUGAAUUACAUUCAUGUUAGAUUAAAGUAGUCGUAAAAAUAGGUUAAAAAAACUACAAAAUAAUGCAUAUUUCAAGCCCACGUGAAGCCACACAAUCAGCAAAUACUAAAUCAGUAAACGAACUUCGUCAUAAUCAAGAAUUAAACAAUCCAUGUCUAAAGGAACAUAAUCUUAGUUUGAAGUGCCUUGAUAUUAAUGAUUACAAACAUGAAAAAUGCGAAGCGUACUUUGCAAAUUACAAAGUCUGCAAAGCAUUUUGGAGACAGAUAAGAAUUGAUCGUAAACAACGUGGUAUUGUUCCAAACCUUCCAUUACCUGAGGAUAGAGACAAAGUGAAAACAGAAUACCUUAACUCUAGAAAAAAAUAAUAUUUCUACAUCUUAUAUGCAUGUAUUCAACAAAUGUGCAAUUUAUAUUUGAUUUUACAUACACAGGAAGUGUGAAGUAUCAUCUGUUAGAGAGAAUACAGUUACAAAUAAAUUAGGUCUAAAGCUAUUUUUCAUGCUUCUCAAUUGUAUCAACAAUGAUUGUGCAUUAAAAAUAAGUAAAUAAAGGAUAGAC
This is an RNA transcript of Colletes gigas, 703 nucleotides long. It is a transcript of the gene named coiled-coil-helix-coiled-coil-helix domain-containing protein 7, with no coding region annotated. The record is from RefSeq and is a predicted model, not a curated record. NCBI's taxonomy places the organism in Eukaryota, Metazoa, Arthropoda, Insecta, Hymenoptera, Colletidae. The transcript is spliced from 4 exons.